CUCCCACCUGCUCCUUGCGCCCCCCGACUGCCGCCGCCACGCACCUUCGCCCGCCUCGCCUCGCCUCGCCACGCCGCCGCCUCCUCUCGCCCAGUUUCGCUCGUGCUCUGGUUACCAGGGACGAGCUGCGGCCACGUCUCCGCCGCCGUCGUCCACCGGAUACCCGGACCUGGGUCGGGGUAGCCUGGCAGCGGCCGCCUGACCUGCAGCGGCUGCCGCAGCGGUGCAACUUUCUUCGUUCAAGUAAGAUCGGUGAAACGGGAGCCGAGCUCCCACAGAUCUGUAUCGAUCUCAUUCGGCUCAACCCCGGUAGAUCUUUACCUUGAACGCAUGUUUUCGGCUGUUGUUUUUCCUGUGCGUACUCGCGUUCGACUUAGCAUCGAAUCCCUCAGUUUAUGCAGUGUUGUUGUGGUCGAUUGACAUCCCUGUGAAGAUGAAAUUCAGGUCCAAAGACGACUGAUGACUGGUUUUAGCCUCAAGCCAUCAUGUCUCGCCGUUUUUGGUGAGCUUAUGGCUUGGGGCUAAAACCUGUUUAGGGUCGUCGAUGAUGGCCAUAUUAGCUAUGAGAUCUGAGGGACACCGUCAAUAUGAGUACAUAAUACUUUCUUCUCCUUUGGUUUGUCCUGCCGAGUACCUUUAUAUGUUGUAUCUAGCUCAAGUAGCAGUCAGUGUCCCAAUGAAGAAAAUAUUUCAGUACCGAAGAUGAAUGGUUGGUUAGUUUUAGCUUCAAGCCAUUUUAGUAUAUUUCUUUGGACAUGUGGCUUGUGGCUAAAACUAGUUUACUUUAAAGUUCAUCCGUGAUGGCCAUAGCUAUGAGAUCCGAGGGAUGCCGACCAUUAGAGCCUCGUAGCCCAUUUCAUCUUUGCUCAACCUCAUUUGUUCCGCUAUUUAUAGUAUAAAUUAUGUGUCUGAUGAGUUUGAUUUGUUCCAGUUUGACUGCUCUAAGUUUUGUUUCUGUUAGCAGAGGUUGCACUGUACUGUCUUCUCGUCAGCCAAAGAUUUUUUAAAAUAGUCCUAGGGCCAUAUUAGCUAGGAGAUCUGAUGGACAUAAUCAAUUGGACCUGUUAGCCAAGAAUUUUUUUAAAAUUGUUUUAGGGCCAUAUUAGCUAGGAGAUCUGAUGGACAUCAUCAAUAUGAUUACAUGGUCCUUACUUUCUCUCUUGGUUUUUGAGACUGGGUUCUUGAUUUAGAUGGAAGUGAGGAUCCUUUCCCCAGCUGAUCGACUAUGAUUAUACUGUGCGCAAAUGUAAUCCUUUAUCAGAGGAUUCCAAGCCAGAAAUCUGAUCCAUCACGCCCGACAGCUUCUAUCCACUUUUUUCUCUCUUAUACUUGACCUUUGUGUUUCUUAUUUGAUUUGUAAAUUGAAUGGAAGUGAGGAUCCUUUCCCCAAAUGAUGGACUAUGAUUAUACUGCGCGCAACUGCAAUCCUUUAUCAGAGGAUUCGAAGCCAGAAAUCUGAUCCAUCUGGCAUGACAGUUCUAUCUCCCUUUUCUCUCUUAUACUUGACCUUUACUUUCUCAUUUGAUUGGUAAAUUGAAUGGAAGUGAGGAUCCUUUCCCCAAAUGAUCGACUAUGAUUAUACUGUGCGCAACUGUAAUCCUUUACCAGAGGAUUCCAAGCCAGAAAUCUGAUCCAUCUUUGUUAUCUCUGCCACCUUGUUUUUUCAAUUUUGUUUUUAUUUUACUAAGAAAACUGAAUGGACUUUAGCGUCCUUUCUAACUAUACUGUGCACAAAUGUAAUCCGUUAUAACAGGAUUCCAAACCAGAGAUCUGAUGCACCUUCUUUUGUUUUGUUCUAUUUUAACUUUCUGAUUGGGCUUUGUUUCAUUUUUUUGAAGUUGAAUGGAAGUGAGGAUCCUUUCCCCAAAUGAUCGACAUUGAUUAUACUGUGCGCAACUGUAAUCCUUUAUCAGAGGAUUCCAAGCCAGAAAUCUGAUCCAUCUUGCUCAACAAUCUCAACCCCUGUUGCUCUGUUUGUAUUGUUUUUUUGUCCUGAUUUGUAAAUGGAAUGGAAGUGAGGAUUUUUAUCUCUUUUGAUUGUGCUUUGUUUAAAAAUUAUCUUGUGUUUACUGUCAUUUCAUAUUGUGUUAUUGUUUUCUAGUGACCUGGCCUGAAACCUUUCUCGAUGAAGAGAGUACAAGCAGACGGGCGGUCUGAACUGAUGCCAUGUUGAUAUGUCUGCAUCAUCUGUGCUUUUACCCUUGUGGAUAGCAUCAGAGAGAAAACAAAGAUCAUUCUUAAAUUUGUGCCUUAGCUCGAAUUCUUCCUCAUAGACAGAUGGGGUUCAGUUUAUUACUUGACUCCAGUCUUUGUGACAGAUCGGGUGAGGAUAGUGGGAUGGUUUACUUACCAAUCGUUUUGCAGCAUAUGCCAUUGCUCUGAUUCAAAUGGUCUAACCGAGAUUCUCCGUUUCAACUAAGCUUUGAAUGCUUUUGAUUCUUCCUGCUUGCAUAUCCUACAGUCAAUGGAAAAUUCCAUGUGGUUUAAUGAAUCUCCACUUGUUAUCUGUUGCCAUUCAUUUUAUCUCUCUAUUUGUCUCUGCUAUUUCAAAUUUUAUCAAUCUUCUUGUGGCUUAGGGUGACAAAUGAGGUGAAAUAUUGUAUGCUAAACACUGAAUCUUUGAUAUGUUUACAAAACUCCUCUUAUUAUCUGAUGCCACACCUGCUUGGAACCACUUUUUCUAGUCUAUUUUCUGCACAAUUUCUUCAUUACUUGUGUAUUAAAUUUGAUUGAUGGCAGUGAUUUGAAUCUUACCCGCGCUUCUGAUUAAUCCAUGAAGUACAAGGGAAAACAUGGUUGAAUUUCUUAAUAUGAGCCAAUCAAAUCUUCUUCUCUUAGAUUUGUGUGUUCUGGUUCUGCCAUGGCCGUGAUGAUUAACACUUUCAGCAAACAUGCCAGUUCUGCUUCUGAGAAUUCAUGACUGAAAAUUUUGUUAUAUAAGAUCUGAGCCAUUUUGCACUUAGAAAAGCUGUGUUCUCCAAUGGUAGAUAUCUGAAGAUUUAUGAUUGAUUACCUUGGUCUCUUCCAUAAAUUCUCUGUCAGCAUGUAAAUUCUUCUCAGCAUGUAAAUUCUUCUGAAACACCAUCUGAAUUGCCAAUGAUGCCACACCCAACAUUUGGAGGUGCAGAUGGCUCCAGGAUCCUGUUUACAGGAUGAACCUACCUGGAGGCGCUGUAUCCAUAUGACAUUCAUGGGCAAGUCUGAGGUUUUUGAUGAUCAUGAAACUUUUCUUCCUGUUUUCAUGUUGUUUUCUGCUUUUUUUAAUUGGUAAAUGAAAUGUUUGUGUAUUUAUUUUUGCCGAGUUUAACUAUCCUCUCACAAGUACCUCUGAUUUGCGGAAGAGGCUUUGUCUCUUGGUCCUAUGAGAUGGGAGUUAAAUAACGACACCAGAUUCAGUCAUGUUCAAUGUGUGAUGAUAGUCAGUUCAGAGUUGCAGUCCUUUUUGCCUUCAAAAAAACUGAUGGAAUAAAAAUCUGAAAACACAAAUAGAAACUGCUCGAAGAAAUAUAAAAAAGCGGGGUUUACUAUUGACCUGUUUGAGUAGCUUUGUUUGUGGUAUCUAGCUUGAGCAGCAUUGUCCAGAUGAAGAACAACAUUUAGUACCAAAGAUUAUGGCUUGAAUUAGUUUUUGCUCCAAUCCAUUGUAGUCUUUAUUUCUACUGAUUUGUAGUUUGUGGUUAAAACUAGUUAUUGAUUGUGUCAUCUGUGAUGGCCAAUAGCUAUGAGAUCUGAGGGAUUCGUCUAUUUGAGACUUGUUUUUUCCCUAGGAGUUGAUUUGGCUCUUCUGUUAUGUUUUCCUUUUGUUAUCUAGGGAGGUUUUCUUCUCCAUGAAAUAGCAUUCUACAGAUGAUUAGAAUAUUUGGCGUAGAUAAUUUAUGUCGCCUCUUUCUUUCACUAGUGCACUGUUGUGGCAAUUCAUUCUUCUUUUCUACAUUAGUUUGCGUUUGUAUUUUCCUCUUCGUUUUGUUUCAUAAGACUUGUCAACAGAUGGUCGCCUUCAAGAGAACCUGGUGGAUUUUGUGUUUCAUGGUGGUUCCGUUGCGGGCAUACACUGAUCUAGAGCCUCCACCGUGUCUCACCCUCCACAUCUUUUGCUGGGUGUUGGAUUGGUUCUUGAACAUUUUGAAUAUUAUCUUUGUUUUUCUAUGAUUGUAUGGCUUCUGUUUUUCAUUUUUGUCCGUGGCCUUCAUAAUCCCGGAUUAACUUGCUUAGCUGUUCUUCUGAUUCAUGGGAGGCCAAAACUGAUGUCUGGGAGUUUCGCUGAUAGCGCCUCGUUACUACUGGAGGUGCUUCAUUAGUAACUUGCCACACAGACAAAUUGAUCAAUUUUCUGUACUUCUGUUUGUUCAUGUGUUCAUGUUCUGUUUAUUUGAUUCGGGGAGCUUUGUCCCAUUGUCCGACUGCCGUUCUCUUGGUUGAUCUGACUUUACAAAGCUCCCGAGAGGUAUUCAGGUGGCGCUUAGAGCACAAAUCCGUCUGAUGGAUCUUGGGUUACGCUCGCCCCCAAAUUCCAGUUUAGUCUUUUUUCAAGCAUUUUAAACCUUUCAUGGUGCAGUGAUUAUAAAACAUUCCUCGUACUGAUGGGAGUUCCCUGUGAAUGACUCCUAUACACCCAUAGAAUCUGAGCACUAACAAACCAUACUUGUUUCUUUGGAUUCUUAAUUUGUUCUUAUUUUUAAUAUGCCGUUCAUUGUUAUUUUCACCUAAUCCGUCUCAUUCAUUUCUGUUUUUUGAUUUUGUUUGUUUGUUCUGGAGCACGUAGUUGCGAUGAGGAUAACAAGCUCCCUCUUCUGAAAGCAUUGACGACAUCGCCGGCAGAAUCGAACCAAUUAAAUAUUGCCACCACUGAGCAACUCUGGGUGUUUCUACUCUUGUCAGUUAUUGACCAUUUGCUUGUUCUUACCUUCCAGUCUGCAAAAUCUGUUUGGAUCAUCAGGAGGUAUUGAUGCAUAAUCCAACACUUGUUCCGAGGGCGGCUUUAGCCGCCCAUGUGAUGUCAUUCUUGCAUCUGAAUCCACCACAUAUUUUUUUUCAUUUGGUCUAGUUUUUAUUGAUCUGGUCGGUAUCAGAGGAUGAAACCUUCAAACAAUCUUAGGACACCUUCUGACACAGUGCUUAUUUUCCUGUGAAUGAGAAGGCAUUUUAUUCUGAUGAUACACCCUGUUUAUUUGAGUUUUUGGCCCAAGGAUGUUUAGGGCCCUGUUUUCUAUCUAGAACGCAAAUGGAGCCUAUGAUGAUUAGCUUUACGUUGGAAUUACCGUCAGAUUCGAAAUGAUGAUAUUUUUGCGGCUUUCUGAGGCUUAAGACAGCUUAGCUCUUCUACUUUUUUAUUGUUAUGAAGUUUCUUCAGCCUGGUUAAGAUUCUUAGACCAUAGGAUGUUCUGCAAGUGUCCUCCUUUGCCCAGAACCUUUGUAGUUUGGUCUGGGCUGGAAUCCCCAGCCGCACUUUGUUUUUUCAGCUGUGUGUGUAAUUUUAAACAGGUUCCUGAGGGAUUCUCCUCUUGGUUGCUUGGUUUUUUUUUGCAUAUAGUAUCUGGAUGUGCCAUUUGCUGCAUCUCUGUUGGCUUUCAACAUUAACCAAAUAUGCUCAUCUUGAUAAGAGACUCUGCAAUUAUGAUACAAGUCGGCGACAACUGUACCAAGAGGCUACAAGACAGCACCACAUUAAUAGAAGGAAAACGCUUCCAGCCGGCCAGCCGGCCGAGUUUGGGCCGGACGUCUCGUCAUGUGGGAAACAACCAAACCGCUUGCAACACGUGUUCCCGCGGGUCCACCCUUAUCUGUACCCUUUUCUCCUCCCAUCGUCCACCCUUCGUCUUCCACCUCCGUCUUCGUUGCUUUCCCUUCCCCCAUCUUUACAGUUUACACGGAGAGAGCUUCUCCAAUACUGCGGCUCCUGUCCAAGCUCCUCCCUAUCCUGGUAGCAGAGCCAUUGCCCACCUCUUCUCCCCGCUCCGUUGCAGCUGUGCUGCUAUGGCCAGAUGCUACAGGAGUUGGAGACGCUUGCAAUCUACAAAGCUACAACCAUCAACGUCAAAAGCUACAACCGGUGUUGCCGAAAGCUGCAACCAGUCAUAAAAAAAGUUUUGACCCGUUAGUAAAAAGCUUCGGCCGGUGAUUCAAAAAGCUUCAACCGGCGAGUGUGGAAUGAGAAAAGCUGGAAUCGUUGACACAAAAGCUUCAACCAUAUACUUGAGGAGAUCCAACCAGAGACCAGUGAGAAAGAGCUAUAGCGACGAGCCGUUGAUGCACACUGCAUUUUUUCUGUGCAUCAAUGGAGCUGUGACGGAUGCUGGAACUGGCGCUCUUUUUUGCUGUGUCCGGAAGUUUGCUGCAUAGGAGGGGUGGACCUGGGAGCCGGUGUCGCAACCGGCGAGCAGCGGCAAGCCGACGGUGCUUCCAGGUCACGCGUCCAUGGCGAGGUGCUACGUCCGGCGGGAGCUACAACCUGCAUGGCAGUGCUCUAGUGACGGAGUUCGACGAAUAAGGCCAUGGUGGUGCCCUCGCAGCCAUGGCGGCACCCCUGUGGAGGAGCUGGACGACCCCAUGGCCACGGCGACGGUGGCGAUGUUACUACUACGGGGGUGUUGGACGGCGUCGUGGGGUGAGAUGGGGGCGAGGGUGGGGGUGCUGCUUGAGCACGCACGGCCGCGCGAAGGGAGCAGGGACACAUCCAGCAGUGCAGAGCGCUCCAAUCGCACGGCUGCAGGGUGACCGGCCGAAUUUUCGAAUUUUCGGCUGGCGCACGGGCGCCUAGCAGUUGCCUUGAUAGAAGCUCUUGGUUCAUUUAUUGUAAUCAUCUUAUUUUGACAUUUGUAAGCAUGGCUGUACAUAAAUUGGCUUUCCAUCCUAUGCUCUUAGAUCCAGUAUUGGUAAGAAUCCAAUAUCUUAUAUGAAUA
Triticum aestivum (bread wheat) is the source of this 6899-nucleotide long non-coding RNA. RefSeq lists it as uncharacterized. The record is from RefSeq and is a predicted model, not a curated record. The transcript has 2 exons. NCBI's taxonomy places the organism in Eukaryota, Viridiplantae, Streptophyta, Magnoliopsida, Poales, Poaceae.